UUAGAAAAGGAUCUCAUGUGCAAACGGGACGCCUAGCUCCCCAUCUUCUGCUGGAAAAAAAGAUGGAGAUCACUGGAUGAGCAGCUACUGAAAGGUGUGCCAGGACAGGAAACUGCAUUUGUUUUCCGCUGAGGGAGAAGCCUUUGAUGCACAGAGGUUGAUCAGACUGGGGAGUUUCUGCCAUUUCUGUGACGAGGCUGUGGGCACCUCUUGGCUGGCAGCUCCUGUACCGGUUGCUGCUGGGCACAGCGGGUGUCUGGAGAGGGCCUGGUGUAGCAACGAGGAGCACGUCCUGCUGCAUGUCCAUGGAAAUCUCUCUGAAGUUGAACCUAAUUUGGGUGAGUCGGGAUCAUCUUUCUGUCUCAGCUUCAUUUACGAAACAGCUGGGCUGCAGGGAGGUAAAUGUGGCAAAUGGAAACCUCAACUGCCCCAGCUGGAUU
This 440-nucleotide long non-coding RNA is filed under the name Anas platyrhynchos platyrhynchos (common mallard). RNAcentral's name for it is "lncRNA (ENSAPLG00000017947.1)". Lineage: Eukaryota; Metazoa; Chordata; Aves; Anseriformes; Anatidae. The record is from RNAcentral.